This 776-nucleotide ribosomal RNA is filed under the name uncultured Neocallimastigales. RNAcentral describes it as "partial large subunit ribosomal RNA". It matches the Rfam family "Eukaryotic large subunit ribosomal RNA", at positions 24 to 646 of the family's 3401-position model. Lineage: Eukaryota; Fungi; Neocallimastigomycota; Neocallimastigomycetes; Neocallimastigales. The record is from RNAcentral.
GUAGUCUCGCACAGAUGCAUAUCAAUAAGCGGAGGAAAAGAAACUAACAAGGAUUCCCCUAGUAACGGCGAGUGAAGCGGGAAGAGCUCAAAUUUGAAAUCUUAAAGGGUUUCCCUUUACGAAUUGUAGUUUAAAGAAGUGUUUUCUGUUGAGGUUUUGGCUAAAAGUUCUUUGGAAUAGGACAUCAUAGAGGGUGAGAAUCCCGUAUUUGACCUUUACUUUCAACUUUGUGAUACACUUUCAAAGAGUCGGAUUGUUUGGGAAUGCAGUCCAAAAUGGGUGGUAAAUUUCAUCUAAAGCUAAAUAUUGGCGAGAGACCGAUAGCGAACAAGUACCGUGAGGGAAAGAUGAAAAAGAACUUUGAAAAGAGAGUUAAACAGUACGUGAAAUUGUCAAAAGGGAAGCGUUUGACACCAGUGUUGUUUUUCUGAAAAUCAAUUAAAGAACUGUUUAUGCUAAGUUGUUUAGACUUUAUCAGCUAACUGUUUAGUUUUGAGCUUUUCUUUAAUGCACUUUUCAGUUAACACGUCAACAUCAAUUUCUUUUGCUGUAAAAAAGCCUGAGGAAGGUGGCUUGAGAUUCGUCUUAAGUGUUUAUAGCCUCUUGCCUAUGCAGUCGGAGAGAUUGAGGUCUGCAGCGUAGAUCCUUCGGGGCUAAAUGCAUUUGUGCUAAGUUAUAACAUUUUAUAGACAACUUGUUGACUAUGAUUUGUCUUGUAGCUUACUCGCUUAUGUUAUUUUACCUACGCUUAGGAUGUUGAUCUGUAGUGCGUGCGC